UUUUAGUUAGAAAUUACAAGUUUAUUUUUAUAUUUUGAAAAAGGCGUAAUAGAAAACAAAAAUAAACAACCAGGCAUAUCAAUAUUUGUGACAUACACACAAAAAUGAAUAUAGGAAAUAACACGAAGAAAAAGCAUAGUAUGUUUUGAAACCAACGUGGGGUAUGAACAGAUUUUUGAUGAAAUACAACUAAAGGUUUUAAGUGUCUAUGUAAUGUUCGAGAUAUUACGAUCACUCUUAUCCUACUAGCAAAAAUUAGCAAACUAGGCUUUAAAACAUGAUUCCUGUUGUUUUAGCAGGAUUUAUUUUGGUAAUGAUCCUGCUUCCUUAUAAACAACUAGUUUACUUAUCAUUGUUGAAGGCUUCUUGUGUUAAGGAGUGCAAUGAGGCCAGGCGUGGUGGCGCGUGCCUAUAGUCCCAGCUACUUGGGAGGCUGAGGUGGGAGGAUCACUUGAGCCUGAGAGGUCAAGGCUGCAGUGAGGUCAAGAUCGGGCCACACCACACUCUCAGCAACCUGGGUGACAGAGUGAGAUCCUGUCUUAAAAAAAAAAAA
Molecule: non-coding RNA, 553 nt
Filed under: Pan troglodytes (chimpanzee)
Lineage: Eukaryota; Metazoa; Chordata; Mammalia; Primates; Hominidae
Source: RNAcentral